AUAUUCAUUUGGCAGAGAAGAUACCAUCUUCAUGAAGGUGGUUUUGCCUUGAAGAGUCUCCUCUGUUUCUCUCCAGAAGGGCUGACCUCUGUAAUUUUCCCAAAUGUGGGAAACUUGACUGCAGUACUUGGGGGAGGGGGGGGGACUGUGUUUGCACUUUCUCUUG
Small nuclear RNA from Phacochoerus africanus (Common warthog), 166 nucleotides. RefSeq annotates it as U1 spliceosomal RNA. The transcript has a single exon. NCBI's taxonomy places the organism in Eukaryota, Metazoa, Chordata, Mammalia, Artiodactyla, Suidae. The record is from RefSeq and is a predicted model, not a curated record.